CGACGCCGCCGUGUGGGGAGUGAAGUACUUUUCCGGGGUAGUGUAAACCAACCUGUCGGAGGGGGAAGGAAAAUAAGACGAUACCCUCCAAGAAAGCCCCGGCUAACUACGUGC
This 114-nucleotide ribosomal RNA is filed under the name uncultured bacterium. RNAcentral describes it as "partial 16S ribosomal RNA". The record is from RNAcentral.